RNA transcript from Glycine soja, 2840 nucleotides. It is a transcript of the gene named glycerophosphodiester phosphodiesterase GDPDL4-like, with no coding region annotated. The transcript has 12 exons. The record is from RefSeq and is a predicted model, not a curated record. Lineage: Eukaryota; Viridiplantae; Streptophyta; Magnoliopsida; Fabales; Fabaceae.
CCACUCAUAGUAAGCUGACUAAAACUCUCGGCUUUUUCUCCGCCAGGCUUUGCCGGAACUUCGCCGGAAUGUGGAAGCCACGUGCCGUUCCCCGUGCUCUCUCUCUGCUUCUUCUUCUUCUUCUUCACUCGGUGCUGGCUCUGGUCUCUGCAAAAGUCACUAACAGUACCACUUGGAACACUCUCACUGGAGCUCCACCGUUGGUCAUAGCACGUGGAGGUUUUUCAGGGAUAUUUCCUGAUUCCAGUGAUUUGGCCUAUAUUUUUGCAGUAAGAACUGGUUUAAAAAAUCUCAUUGCAUGGUGUGAUGUGCAAUUAACGAAAGAUAGGCAGGGGAUCUGCUUCCCAGACAUCAAGCUUGAAAAUGCUACCGACAUUAAUUAUGCUUUUCCAAAUCGAAGUCAGACUUACCCAGUUAAUGGUGUACCAACCACGGCUUAUUUUGCUGUGGAUUAUACCCUAGAGGAUCUGCGGUCCUAUGUCGUCUUGACUCAGGGAGAUUAUUCUCGAACUAACUUGUUUGAUUACAAUUUAUUUGAAAUUCUUACUGUGAGUGACUUGGUUAAAAGAGCAGCCCCGCCAGGAUUGUGGUUGAAUAUUCAGCAUGAUUUAUUCUACACAAAACACAAUUUGAGUAUGAAAAACUACAUACUCUCUGUUUCUAGAACAGUAAAUGUUAGUUAUAUCUCAUCACCUGAAGCUGGUUUCCUGAGAAGUAUAAGGACACAGAUCAACCAAAGAAAAACAAAACUGGUCUUCAGGUUUCUGAAAAAAAAUGAUGUAGAUCCAUCAACCAGUCUCAUGUAUGGUUCACUAUUAAAAAAUCUAACAUCUAUCAAGGCAUUUGCUUCAGGAAUUCUUGUUCCCAAAGAAUACAUAUGGCCUGUACAUCCAACAAAUCUUUAUCUACUUAGCCAUACAUCUUUGGUCUCCGAUGCACACAAAGUGGGGCUGGAAGUCUUUGCUUCUGAUUUUCAGAAUGACAUUCCUAUCAGCUUUAAUUACAGUUAUGACCCUGUUGCCGAAUACCUGAAUUUCAUAGACAAUGAAAACUUCUCUGUUGAUGGUGUGCUGUCUGAUUUCCCCCUAACAUCAUCUGAAGCUAUAGACUGCUUUGCUCAUGUAGGCCUCAAUGCAACAAAGAAAGUUAAAACUUUGGUCAUCUCAAAAUAUGGAGCAAGUGGAGAUUAUCCUCCUUGUACCAACUUGGCAUAUGAAAAUUCUAUUUCAGAUGGGGCGGAUAUUCUUGAUUGUCCUGUUCAAAUGUCACAGGAUGGAAUACCAUUUUGCUUAAGGUCUAUUGAUCUUAUAGAGAGCACAAAUGUUGCUCAAACAAUUUUCAGCAACCGUAGCAAAACUAUCCCGAUCAAAUCUGGCAGUGGAAUAUUUGCAUUUGACUUGGCUUGGGAAGAUAUAAAAAACUUGACCCCCUCAAUGUUCAACCCGUAUUCCAACUACCAUUUGUUUAGGAACCAAGAAUACAACAAGCAGGGGAAAUUUUUAAGAUUGACAGAUUUCUUGAACUUGAUAAAAGGUCAGACUUCCCUAUUAGGUGCUGUGAUCAUCAUUGAGAAUGCAGACUAUCUUGCAAGGGAAAAAAACUUAAGUGUGACUGAUGCCGUUAUUGAUACUUUGAGAAAAGCAGGCUAUGAUAAACAAGGGGCUCCAAAUGUUAUGAUUCAAUCCACUAAUAGUUCAGUACUACUGAAAUUCAAGGAGAAAACCAAUUAUGAACUUGUCUACAGGAUUGAUGAGAUAGUUGGUGAUGCAGUUGAUUCAGCUAUUCGGGAUAUCAAAAGAUUUGCUCAUUCUGUGAUUCUCCAUAAGUCCUCUGUAUAUCCCCUUAACGACUUCUUCCUGACUGGCUCUACAAAGAUUGUGCCAAAGUUCAAAUCUUCUAAUAUCUCUGUUUACGUUGAAACAUUCAGCAAUGAGUUUGUAUCUUCUGCAUGGGAUUUCUUGUCAGAUUCAACCGUGGAGAUCAACACAUUUGUUCAAGAUGCUGAAAUUGAUGGUGUCAUCACAGACUUCCCAAAAACAGCUAAUAGAUACAGAAGGAACAAAUGCUUAAAUUUGGGUGAGAACACACCUCCAUACAUGAAACCAGUUCAAGUAGGUGGCCUUUUCAAACAAAUAGCCAAAUAUUCCUUGCCACCGGCUGUGGCUCCUGCCCCUGCCCUGACUGAAGAUGAAGUGACAGAACCCCCUUUGCCUUCUGUUUCUAAAAUAGCCCCAUCUAGCCCUAUUGCUGGGACUGGGCCAGUAGCACAACCACCACGAAAUGCACAGACUAAGGUCGCUGUCUGCUUCUUUAUGUCCACUCUGUCUCUGCUUGUAGCUUCUCUUCUACUUUGAGUGGUGCAGGUCUCCCAUUUCCCACUAAAUAGAAAGAAGAAAAAUUGAUAAGAAAAAGGAAGUAAAUUGUUUCCAUUCACUGUUGUAGCUUGCUACGUAUAUUCCCCCUUCUCCAAUCUCUUUCUGUUGCUGCUGUAACUAUUACGGACUGCUUUGCUCACAUAGGCCUCAAUGCAACAAAGAAAGUUGGCACUCUGGUCAUCCCAAAAUAGGGAGCAAGUGGAGAUUAUCCUCCUUGUACUGACUUGGCAUAUGAAAAGGCUAUUUCAGAUGGUGUGGAUGUUCUUCACUGUCCUGUUCAAAUGUCAAAGGAUCGAAUACCAUUUUGCUUAAGCUCUAUUGAUCUUAUUGAGAGCACAAAUGUUGCUCAAUCAAGUUUCAGCAAACUUGGCAAAAAAAAUCCCAGAGAUCAAAUUUGGCAAUGGAAUAUUUACAUUCGACUUGGUUUGGCAUGAUAUAAAAUCUUGGCCCGUAAUUCAAAUGGUC